UCCACUGCCCAUACCACCCUGAACAUGCCAGAUCUCAUGAUUUCGGAUGCUAAGUAGAGUCAGGCCUGGUUCGUCCUUGGACGGGAGGGUAAUGGGA
Molecule: ribosomal RNA, 97 nt
Organism: Macaca nemestrina (pig-tailed macaque)
Lineage: Eukaryota; Metazoa; Chordata; Mammalia; Primates; Cercopithecidae
Source: Ensembl